This 113-nucleotide microRNA precursor is filed under the name Poecilia formosa (Amazon molly). Its description in RNAcentral is "miRNA (ENSPFOG00000021202.1)". Lineage: Eukaryota; Metazoa; Chordata; Actinopteri; Cyprinodontiformes; Poeciliidae. The record is from RNAcentral.
UCACUCAACCACCAAUAAUAUGUAUGUGUGUGUGUGUGUGUGUGUGUGUGUGUGUGUGUGUGUGUGUAUAUAUAUAUAUAUAUAUAUAUAUAAAAUUUCUGAACUAUAUAUAC